Molecule: long non-coding RNA, 1037 nt
Filed under: Struthio camelus australis
Lineage: Eukaryota; Metazoa; Chordata; Aves; Struthioniformes; Struthionidae
Description: lncRNA (ENSSCUG00000017426.1)
Source: RNAcentral
AGGGUGUGCAGAGGGCGGUUGGCAGGGACAUGGGCAACAGCUUCUGUUCCUCUCUUGGAAGGUGCCUGCUUGGUCCCAGAAAAGGUAAUCGAGAAAGCAGUGGCAUUUCAUGGUGCAGAGGAGUCAACCCUCAGCGAGAGGUGGCUGUGGAAGGGACCACGCUGCUCUGCCAAGUGCCUGAACACAGCGCCAAGUGCCGUGAUUGAUAAAGAGAGGCCACCUGGCUACCGUGCUCUCCAGCAGGUCCCUUCCUGCUUCUCUCUUCCCAUACACCACAGAAAAAGUCAUUCUGGUCUUCUGGCGAGCCUGUGCCAGCCUUUCUAAAUAAUACUGUGAUGACACGGGCUUCCUCUGGGCUGAAGCAAGGACUUCUGCUUGAAGGCAAGAGGCUCUGGAGGAAACUACACUUGCACUGAACUCGAGCACUGUGAUUCUGCCAGGAUCAUGCUUAUGAAAUCAGCUUGAAGACUAAGGGAGAGAUGGUAGCAAGAGACUGUCAAAUCUCAGCUACUGAACUGUCUGUACGCUCACACUGGUGUGGAGCAAAUGGAAGAUACCUUUCUAAUACCAGGUGUCAGCAGAGAAGGCUGGUGGAUAAAAGGACUAGGAGGCGACGUCUUCAGGGAGCAGGACCUGGGCUGUGCUGCGGCGACUUUUCCGCACAUCUGGGAGUCCAGACGAGUCGGCCCUCAGUGACUCUGCUACAUUCACCACUGCUGGAUAAACGUAAAGCUCUUAAGGUCUGCAUUGCUGUUGCUAAUGAUACUACUGGGGGAUGGGCCCUUUGAGUGAAAUGCCGAUUUAUGUUUCACUGUAGGAUUUGCUUACAUAACUAGUGAACCUGUAUCAACUGUAGCCUUUGCAGCCUGAGUUCACCACUUGGGUUUUGUAGCUUCUCUUGGGGUUGAAUAGCUAAGCUGCAAGUUCCAUGAGCAAAGUACUUGCACUUGCUUGCAAAGAGUAAGCAGGCCUCUGAUAAGAGACCUGAUAUUAAAAUGGUUUGCUUUAUUGGCAGAAGUGGCUUUCACUGUUUCCAC